AGUGAACGCUGGCGGUAGGCCUAACACAUGCAAGUCGAACGGCAGCACAGUAAGAGCUUGCUCUUACGGGUGGCGAGUGGCGGACGGGUGAGGAAUACAUCGGAAUCUACUUUUUCGUGGGGGAUAACGUAGGGAAACUUACGCUAAUACCGCAUACGACCUACGGGUGAAAGCAGGGGAUCUUCGGACCUUGCGCGAUUGAAUGAGCCGAUGUCGGAUUAGCUAGUUGGCGGGGUAAAGGCCCACCAAGGCGACGACCCGUAGCUGGUCUGAGAGGAUGAUCAGCCACACUGGAACGGAGACACGGUCCAGACUCCUACGGGAGGCAGCAGUGGGGAAUAUUGGACAAUGGGCGCAAGCCUGAUCCAGCCAUACCGCGUGGGUGAAGAAGGCCUUCGGGUUGUAAAGCCCUUUUGUUGGGAAAGAAAAGCAGCAGGUUAAUACCCCGCUGUUCUGACGGUACCCAAAGAAUAAGCACCGGCUAACUUCGUG
RNAcentral lists this ribosomal RNA (492 nucleotides) under uncultured bacterium. RNAcentral describes it as "partial 16S ribosomal RNA". It matches the Rfam family "Bacterial small subunit ribosomal RNA", at positions 29 to 507 of the family's 1533-position model. The record is from RNAcentral.